CUGGCUCAGGACGAACGCGGGCGGCGUGCUUAACACAUGCAAGUCGAACGGUGAAGCCCUUCGGGGUGGAUCAGUGGCGAACGGGUGAGUAACACGUGAGCAACCUGCCUCUGACUCUGGGAUAACUUCCGGAAACGGGAGCUAAUACUGGAUAUGACCUUCUGCCGCAUGGUGGGGGGUGGAAAGUUUUUCGGUCAGGGAUGGGCUCGCGGCCUAUCAGCUUGUUGGUGGGGUGAUGGCCUACCAAGGCGACGACGGGUAGCCGGCCUGAGAGGGCGACCGGCCACACUGGGACUGAGACACGGCCCAGACUCCUACGGGAGGCAGCAGUGGGGAAUAUUGCGCAAUGGGCGGAAGCCUGACGCAGCGACGCCGCGUGGGGGAUGAAGGCCUUCGGGUUGUAAACCUCUUUCAGCGCCAAAGAAGCGCAAGUGACGGUAGGCGCAGAAGAAGCACCGGCUAACUACGUGCCAGCAGCCGCGGUAAUACGUAGGGUGCAAGCGUUGUCCGGAAUUAUUGGGCGUAAAGAGCUCGUAGGCGGUUUGUCACGUCUGCUGUGAAAACUCGGGGCUUAACUCCGGGCCGGCAGUGGGUACGGGCAGACUAGAGUGUGGUAGGGGAGACUGGAAUUCCUGGUGUAGCGGUGAAAUGCGCAGAUAUCAGGAGGAACACCGGUGGCGAAGGCGGGUCUCUGGGCCAUAACUGACGCUGAGGAGCGAAAGCGUGGGGAGCGAACAGGAUUAGAUACCCUGGUAGUCCACGCCGUAAACGUUGGGCGCUAGGUGUGGGGCUCUUUCCACGAGUUCCGUGCCGCAGCAAACGCAUUAAGCGCCCCGCCUGGGGAGUACGGCCGCAAGGCUAAAACUCAAAG
RNAcentral lists this ribosomal RNA (871 nucleotides) under uncultured bacterium. RNAcentral describes it as "bacterial SSU rRNA". It matches the Rfam family "Bacterial small subunit ribosomal RNA", at positions 19 to 906 of the family's 1533-position model. The record is from RNAcentral.